RNAcentral lists this ribosomal RNA (377 nucleotides) under uncultured organism. RNAcentral's name for it is "partial 16S ribosomal RNA". It matches the Rfam family "Bacterial small subunit ribosomal RNA", at positions 523 to 896 of the family's 1533-position model. The record is from RNAcentral.
CGGGGGGGGGGGCAAGCGUUGUUCGGAAUUACUGGGCGUAAAGGGCGCGUAGGCGGACGAGACAGUCUUUCGUGAAAUCCCACGGGCUCAACCGUGGAACUGCGGGAGAUACUACUCGUCUUGAGUUCGGGAGAGGAGUGUGGAAUUCCCAGUGUAGCGGUGAAAUGCGUAGAUAUUGGGAGGAACACCGGUGGCGAAGGCGGCACUCUGGACCGAUACUGACGCUGAGGCGCGAAAGCUAGGGGAGCAAACGGGAUUAGAUACCCCGGUAGUCCUAGCUGUAAACGAUGAGCACUUGGUGUAGCGGGUAUCGACCCCUGCUGUGCCGGAGUUAACGCAUUAAGUGCUCCGCCUGGGGAGUACGGUCGCAAAGGCUG